UUAAGCGACUAAGCGUACACGGUGGAUGCCCUGGCAGUCAGAGGCGAUGAAGGACGUGCUAAUCUGCGAUAAGCGUCGGUAAGGUGAUAUGAACCGUUAUAACCGGCGAUUUCCGAAUGGGGAAACCCAGUGUGUUUCGACACACUAUCAUUAACUGAAUCCAUAGGUUAAUGAGGCGAACCGGGGGAACUGAAACAUCUAAGUACCCCGAGGAAAAGAAAUCAACCGAGAUUCCCCCAGUAGCGGCGAGCGAACGGGGAGCAGCCCAGAGCCUGAAUCAGUGUGUGUGUUAGUGGAAGCGUCUGGAAAGGCGCGCGAUACAGGGUGACAGCCCCGUACACAAAAAUGCACAUGCUGUGAGCUCGAUGAGUAGGGCGGGACACGUGGUAUCCUGUCUGAAUAUGGGGGGACCAUCCUCCAAGGCUAAAUACUCCUGACUGACCGAUAGUGAACCAGUACCGUGAGGGAAAGGCGAAAAGAACCCCGGCGAGGGGAGUGAAAAAGAACCUGAAACCGUGUACGUACAAGCAGUGGGAGCACGCUUAGGCGUGUGACUGCGUACCUUUUGUAUAAUGGGUCAGCGACUUAUAUUCUGUAGCAAGGUUAACCGAAUAGGGGAGCCGAAGGGAAACCGAGUCUUAACUGGGCGUUAAGUUGCAGGGUAUAGACCCGAAACCCGGUGAUCUAGCCAUGGGCAGGUUGAAGGUUGGGUAACACUAACUGGAGGACCGAACCGACUAAUGUUGAAAAAUUAGCGGAUGACUUGUGGCUGGGGGUGAAAGGCCAAUCAAACCGGGAGAUAGCUGGUUCUCCCCGAAAGCUAUUUAGGUAGCGCCUCGUGAAUUCAUCUCCGGGGGUAGAGCACUGUUUCGGCAAGGGGGUCAUCCCGACUUACCAACCCGAUGCAAACUGCGAAUACCGGAGAAUGUUAUCACGGGAGACACACGGCGGGUGCUAACGUCCGUCGUGAAGAGGGAAACAACCCAGACCGCCAGCUAAGGUCCCAAAGUCAUGGUUAAGUGGGAAACGAUGUGGGAAGGCCCAGACAGCCAGGAUGUUGGCUUAGAAGCAGCCAUCAUUUAAAGAAAGCGUAAUAGCUCACUGGUCGAGUCGGCCUGCGCGGAAGAUGUAACGGGGCUAAACCAUGCACCGAAGCUGCGGCAGCGACGCUGAUGCGUUGUUGGGUAGGGGAGCGUUCUGUAAGCCUGCGAAGGUGUGCUGUGAGGCAUGCUGGAGGUAUCAGAAGUGCGAAUGCUGACAUAAGUAACGAUAAAGCGGGUGAAAAGCCCGCUCGCCGGAAGACCAAGGGUUCCUGUCCAACGUUAAUCGGGGCAGGGUGAGUCGACCCCUAAGGCGAGGCCGAAAGGCGUAGUCGAUGGGAAACAGGUUAAUAUUCCUGUACUUGGUGUUACUGCGAAGGGGGGACGGAGAAGGCUAUGUUGGCCGGGCGACGGUUGUCCCGGUUUAAGCGUGUAGGCUGGUUUUCCAGGCAAAUCCGGAAAAUCAAGGCUGAGGCGUGAUGACGAGGCACUACGGUGCUGAAGCAACAAAUGCCCUGCUUCCAGGAAAAGCCUCUAAGCAUCAGGUAACAUCAAAUCGUACCCCAAACCGACACAGGUGGUCAGGUAGAGAAUACCAAGGCGCUUGAGAGAACUCGGGUGAAGGAACUAGGCAAAAUGGUGCCGUAACUUCGGGAGAAGGCACGCUGAUAUGUAGGUGAAGUCCCUUGCGGAUGGAGCUGAAAUCAGUCGAAGAUACCAGCUGGCUGCAACUGUUUAUUAAAAACACAGCACUGUGCAAACACGAAAGUGGACGUAUACGGUGUGACGCCUGCCCGGUGCCGGAAGGUUAAUUGAUGGGGUCAGCGCAAGCGAAGCUCUUGAUCGAAGCCCCGGUAAACGGCGGCCGUAACUAUAACGGUCCUAAGGUAGCGAAAUUCCUUGUCGGGUAAGUUCCGACCUGCACGAAUGGCGUAAUGAUGGCCAGGCUGUCUCCACCCGAGACUCAGUGAAAUUGAACUCGCUGUGAAGAUGCAGUGUACCCGCGGCAAGACGGAAAGACCCCGUGAACCUUUACUAUAGCUUGACACUGAACAUUGAGCCUUGAUGUGUAGGAUAGGUGGGAGGCUUUGAAGUGUGGACGCCAGUCUGCAUGGAGCCGACCUUGAAAUACCACCCUUUAAUGUUUGAUGUUCUAACGUUGACCCGUAAUCCGGGUUGCGGACAGUGUCUGGUGGGUAGUUUGACUGGGGCGGUCUCCUCCUAAAGAGUAACGGAGGAGCACGAAGGUUGGCUAAUCCUGGUCGGACAUCAGGAGGUUAGUGCAAUGGCAUAAGCCAGCUUGACUGCGAGCGUGACGGCGCGAGCAGGUGCGAAAGCAGGUCAUAGUGAUCCGGUGGUUCUGAAUGGAAGGGCCAUCGCUCAACGGAUAAAAGGUACUCCGGGGAUAACAGGCUGAUACCGCCCAAGAGUUCAUAUCGACGGCGGUGUUUGGCACCUCGAUGUCGGCUCAUCACAUCCUGGGGCUGAAGUAGGUCCCAAGGGUAUGGCUGUUCGCCAUUUAAAGUGGUACGCGAGCUGGGUUUAGAACGUCGUGAGACAGUUCGGUCCCUAUCUGCCGUGGGCGCUGGAGAACUGAGGGGGGCUGCUCCUAGUACGAGAGGACCGGAGUGGACGCAUCACUGGUGUUCGGGUUGUCAUGCCAAUGGCACUGCCCGGUAGCUAAAUGCGGAAGAGAUAAGUGCUGAAAGCAUCUAAGCACGAAACUUGCCCCGAGAUGAGUUCUCCCUGACUCCUUGAGAGUCCUGAAGGAACGUUGAAGACGACGACGUUGAUAGGCCGGGUGUGUAAGCGCAGCGAUGCGUUGAGCUAACCGGUACUAAUGAACCGUGAGGCUUAACCUU
RNAcentral lists this ribosomal RNA (2902 nucleotides) under Escherichia coli. Its description in RNAcentral is "bacterial LSU rRNA". It matches the Rfam family "Bacterial large subunit ribosomal RNA". Lineage: Bacteria; Pseudomonadati; Pseudomonadota; Gammaproteobacteria; Enterobacterales; Enterobacteriaceae. RNAcentral also lists the same sequence under 2 other names. The record is from RNAcentral.